AAAGAUUCAUCGUCAUUUUUUACUUCAAACAUAAACAGAAUUUUUAAUUAUUUGAACAUGCAUUAUGUAUUCUUGGUCAGGAUAAACUUUGAAGUGGUUUGUUUUUUGUUUUUAGGAAAUGAUAUUUAGGGGAACUGACACGGUGGCAAUUCUGCUAGAGUGGACUCUGGCUCGGAUGGUUCUCCACCCUGAAAUCCAAGCAAAGGCACAGCGCGAAAUAGACUUCGUUUGCGGAUCCUCCAGGCCCGUAUCCGAAGCAGACAUUCCGAACCUGCGCUACCUUCAGUGCAUAGUAAAAGAAACCCUUCGUGUGCACCCACCAGGCCCGCUAC
This 332-nucleotide long non-coding RNA is filed under the name Glycine max (soybean). RNAcentral describes it as "long non-coding RNA (GMAX_LNC000340)". The record is from RNAcentral. Lineage: Eukaryota; Viridiplantae; Streptophyta; Magnoliopsida; Fabales; Fabaceae.